Molecule: ribosomal RNA, 419 nt
Filed under: uncultured microorganism
Description: bacterial SSU rRNA
Rfam family: Bacterial small subunit ribosomal RNA
Source: RNAcentral
GAGUUUGAUCUUGGCUCAGGAUGAACGCUGGCGGCGUGCCUAAUACAUGCAAGUCGAGCGAACAGACGGGGAGCUUGCUCCCCUGACGUUAGCGGCGGACGGGUGAGUAACACGUGGGUAACCUACCUAUAAGACUGGGAAUAACUCCGGGGAACCGGGGCUAAUGCCGGAUAACAUGUUGGACCGCAUGGUCCUACAGUGAAAGACGGUCUUGCUGUCACUUAUAGGUGGACCCGCGCCGUAUUAGCUAGUUGGUAAGGUAACGGCUUACCAAGGCAACGAUACGUAGCCGACCUGAGAGGGUGAUCGGCCACACUGGAACUGAGACACGGUCCAGACUCCUACGGGAGGCAGCAGUAGGGAAUCUUCCGCAAUGGGCGAAAGCCUGACGGAGCAACGCCGCGUGAGUGAUGAAGGCC